This 200-nucleotide unclassified non-coding RNA is filed under the name soil metagenome. RNAcentral describes it as "partial contains internal transcribed spacer 2 and large subunit ribosomal RNA". The record is from RNAcentral.
AAAUGCAAGUACACAGGACCAGGAUCCCAGACCUUCGAGGUGUGAAAAAAAAGCGUAGUAGUUGACUUUAUUGUCUUCUUUCGCUGAAAAAGAACGCCCCGUUUUGUUUUGGGACCUGCUGUGCAAAUUCGCAGGAAGAAAAGGAAUCUCCUUUUUCACUUCUUGAUCUGAAAUCAGGUAGGACUACCCGCUGAACUUAA